AUGGAUUUCUCUGUUGUGUUGGAGCGCCCUGGUUACCGUUUCGGACAUUGCCGCUAUUGCAAGGCACGUGUUGGAAUCCAGCACCGCGUGACAAAGGAGGAUUCCAUUAAAUGGUUUCAAGUGAAAUAUGAAGAUCCAUGCUGCUGGCUGGAUGAAGAACUUUCAGGCGAAUUUUGCAGGUUUAAUCUACACUUGAUAGCGGAAUACAAAGCCGUGAAAAGUCCGAAACAAAUUAUUUCAGUAGCUUCUGUUAGCUUUUCGGAGGACUUCACUUCAUCACUUGAAAAUUGCUGGAAACGAUGUUGA
Molecule: non-coding RNA, 306 nt
Organism: Vicia faba (fava bean)
Lineage: Eukaryota; Viridiplantae; Streptophyta; Magnoliopsida; Fabales; Fabaceae
Source: the annotation of a GenBank genome assembly